AGACAAAAGAAGUCUAGAUAGUGAGAAGAGGUGAAAGACUGAUAAAAGUGAGAAGAAAUUUUAAAAGGAAAGCAGAAACCAUGAUUGGAUGAUUUCCUUCUGAUGUCAUAAUUACUCUACUCAACAAUAAAUGUAGAAAUUAGAAAAGACCUACCAGGUAAAUGUGUAAAAUAGACCAUCCAUACCUUCUUAUCAGCGUAGGAUAUGCCUCCUAUCAUGCUAGCAUUCUAGUUGGAACCUUGACACUGCUUUUCUGUACUAAUUAUUGCCAAUAUAUUUCUACUGGCAUAAAAACAGACACACAGGACAAUGGAGCAGAAUGGAGAUCUCAGACAUAAAUCUACACAUUUACAAACAACUCAUCUCUGACAAAGGCAUCAAGAACAUACACUGGGCAAAGAACAGUCUUUUCAAUAAAUAAUCCUGGGAAAACUGAAUAACUAAAUGAAGAAGGAUAAAAUUAAACCCCUCUUACCAUAUACAAAAAUCAAAUCGAAUAAAAAUAGAUUAAAGACUUGAAUCUAAGACCUGAAACUAUGAAGUUACUAAAAGAAAGCAUAGGAGAAAUGCUCCAGGACAUUGGUCCGGGCAGAUUUUUUUGCGUAAGACCUCAGAAGCACAGGCAACAAAGGCAAAAAUAGACAAUGGGAUUAUAUCAAGCUAAAAAGCCUCAAGCAAAGGAAAUAAUCAACAAAGUGAAGUGCCAACCACAGAAUGGGACAAAAUAUUUUCAAACUAUCCAUCUGAUAAAGGAGUAACAACUGCAAUAUAUAAAAAGCUCAAACAACUCAAUAAUAAUCAAAAAAUCUGAUUGAAAAAUGGGCUACUGAAGAGGCUGAGGUAGGAGGAUUUCUUAAUCCCAGGAGUUUGAGGUUACAGUGAGCUAUGAUUAAGCCACUGCCCUUUAUCUUGGGUGACACAGCAAGACCUUGCUUCUAAAAAAAUUGUUAAAAAUAUAUAAAUAGAUACAAUUUUUUAAAAAAAUGGGCAAAAGAUCUGAACAGAUACUUCUCAAAAGAAGACAUUCAAAAGGCCAAUAGGAAGAUGAAAAAAUGUUCAAUAUCACUAAUCAUCAAGCAAAUGCAAAUCAAAACCACAAUGCAAUAUCAGCUCAUGUUGGUUGAAAUGGCUUGUAUCAAAAAGACAGGCAAUAACAGAUGCUGGCAAAGAUGUGGAGAAAGGGGAACACUAGUACACUGUUGGUGGGAAUUUACAUUAAUAAAGCCACUAUGGAGAACUGUAUGGAGGUUCCUCAAAAAAGUAAAACUAGAGCUACCAUGUGGUCCAGCAAUUUCACUACUGGAUAUAUAUCCAAAAUAAAGGAAAUCAAUGUAUCAAAGACAUCUCUACAUGCCCAUGUUUAUUGCAGCACUAUUCACAAUAGCCAAAAUAUGGAAUCAACAUAAGUGGUCAUCAACAAACGAACAGAUUUUAAAAGUAAUAUAUAUACAUCAUGGACUACUACUCAGACACAAAGAAGAAUGAAAUUCUGUCAUUUGCAGCAACAUAAGUGGUGCUGGCCAUUUCGCUUAACGUAAUGAACAUAGGCCAUUAUGUUAAAUGGAAUGAGCUAAGCACAGAAAGGCAAAUAUCGCAUGUUGUCACUCAUAUGUGGGCGGUGAAAAAGUGGAUCUCAUGAAGAUAGAAAGUAAAUUGGUGGUUGCUAGAGGCCAGCAAGGGGAGUGGGAAGAGGAGAUGAAGAAAAGCAAACAUAAAUGUAUUUAUCACCACUAAACUGGCCUCUAAAAAUGUACAGAUGGUAAAUUAUAUAUAUAUACAUUUUUAUCUCAAUAAAAAAAUUAAAAAAAUUCUGUUGUGUGUUUAUAGGGCAUAUGUACAAGACUUUCUCUAGGGUUGUAUCAGUUUUCUUUUUUUUUAUUAUUAUACUUUAAG
Molecule: long non-coding RNA, 1893 nt
Filed under: Homo sapiens (human)
Lineage: Eukaryota; Metazoa; Chordata; Mammalia; Primates; Hominidae
Description: HSALNT0364308
Source: RNAcentral